AGCAGUCGCCGCGGUAAUACGAAGGGUGCAAGCGUUACUCGGAAUUGCUGGGCGUAAAGCGUGCGUAGGUGGUGGUUUAAGUCCGUUGUGAAAGCCCUGGGCUCAACCUGGGAAUUGCAGUGGAUACUGGGUCACUAGAGUGUGGUAGAGGAUAGUGGAAUUUCCGGUGUAGCAGUGAAAUGCGUAGAGAUCGGAAGGAACAUCUGUGGCGAAGGCGACUAUCUGGGCCAACACUGACACUGAGGCACGAAAGCGUGGGGAGCAAACAGGAUUAGAUACCCCUGUAGUCCCUGUCUCUUAUAC
RNAcentral lists this ribosomal RNA (303 nucleotides) under uncultured bacterium. RNAcentral's name for it is "partial 16S ribosomal RNA". It matches the Rfam family "Bacterial small subunit ribosomal RNA", at positions 507 to 807 of the family's 1533-position model. The record is from RNAcentral.